AUUCUCUCCCCCCUCUGAAAGUGAGACGUGACAGAAAUGGUGGUGGCACCGGCUAGGUGCCACGUGACAGAAAUGGUAGAGUUCGCCGGAUAGGUUCUAUUUCUGGAGAGAGAGAGAGGUAGAUUUUUAUGUUUAUUAUUAAGUUAGUUUCAGCUUCUGAUAGCAGGUUAUUAAGAGUUUACUUGAGGAGAGGAUUACGGAAUUUAAUCUAAGUGGAGGAAGUCUUUGAGAUUUUUUUUUGACGUAACAGAUGUUUAUUUGAGUAUACUUGUAAGGAUAAAGUUUAUAGUGAUAAGUUGUUUUAAGUCGUUGAAUUUAUUGUAGAUUUAUAUCGGGGAUUAUUACGUGAGGAGAAUACGUUAUAAGUUAAAUGCUUAUUAGAGAUAAUGCAAGUGGUUUAAUUUAAUUGAAGUUCAUUUUAAGAUUGUAGGUUAAGAGAAUUAUAAUUUAAAAUAAAGUUUUUUGUCGUAAAUAGGAAUUAUUUUCAAGAGAAGUUUGUUUUGUUUUCGUGCGCGUAGGAGACGAGACGUACGAAUUAAAUCAGUCGAGGGAAGGAUAAACGUUAGAAAGGAAUUAAAGAGAAAACGAGAGUUUAUGUAAAAGAGAGUUAUAGAAUUUAUAGUGAUGUUUUGUUUUAAUUAGAAAAAUGUUGAGAGUUGUUUCAGAACGACACGUCAGUGGACGUGGCAGAAUGAACACGAGACGGGGAGGUGCUGAGACCUAGCGGAGAACGGAGGAACCGCAAGCGAGGGUUGGCGCACCUGAUGGAAUUCGGUGACGUCACGGGCUCAUACGGAGACGUGGACAGGCCGUGACCUUGUUUUGAUCAGCUGUACGGUAACUUAGCGAUAAGAAAAUAGACUAUUGGUUUAAUAAAUUUAAAUUUAAGUGUGUUUUAGGAGAAGAGGAACUUUCAGUAUAUUCCUUAAGAUGAGCUGAGCAGCAGUCCAGUUUACAAGAUGACAAGAGUUCGAGAGACAAGAUACAAGAUCACUGAAACAAGAGCCAAGACUGAAGAUUCAAGAGAAGAGAAAGCUGGCAGCCAUGGACUUACAAGUGGAGAUUAAUAAGGUCAUGUAAAGUUUUAUUUUUUUUAUGGAAGACAGUAACUGGAGUUUUUUUUUGUUAUAAACAUUAUUUACAGAACUUUUUAGGUUAUAGUAAUGUAAUGGAACUAGUGAGUUGUGGUAGCUGUCAAAAAGAACUAAUACCUUAAGUUUAAUUUUUAAAGUUAAUUUUCUUAAUUUACAGAGGGAUUAGUAGUUUUUUUUAAAACCUUAUUUAGGUUGGAAUUUAAAUACAAUAGCUUAUUAUAAAUGUGUACGAACAGUUCAAGUUCACAGUACUGAUAGGUAGGUCAGAUGAUCUUAUUGAUUUUGAUGAUUUGUUGUUUUGAGUUGAUUUUUAAGUGUUGUGAAUUAGACAAUGAAAUAGUUCUGAAAACUUAAAUUAUUUCAAGCUAAGAAAUAGUAAAGUUAAUUGUAACUCAAAGGACACCAGAAUUUAAUUUUUUUUUGAAUUAGUAAUGUUUGAAAAUUUUAUACUUUACAAGAAAGGUUAUAAACAAACAGAUCGGAUGGAACAAGGAUGCAGUAAAUCACAAUUUCAUUUAGAAUUAUUGAUUAGCUUUUGAGGUUAUGAAGUAAAAGUAAUUAUAGUUUAAAAGUUUGAAUAAAAAAAAAUGUUUUUUUUUUAAUUUGUUUGAAAUAGAAAGUUUAAAAGUUAAUUAGUCAUGAUCUAGGUGGGUGAUGGGGUGGGAAUUGGCCACUCUUUUUCCCUAUAACCUCCCUAACAUGGCCUUCUAUUACAUCUAACAGAAAAAAAAAAGAAGAAAAAGAAGACUUAUUAUUAGUUAGAAUGUUUUUUUAUGAAGAUACCUGAUGAACUUUUUUUUAUUGUUGGGAAGAAUAGUAGCAAGAUUAAUCAGAUGUUUUACUCAGAAGAAGAAGAAGAAGAAGAUAAAGCAGUUUUAUGACUCGACAAGCCAGAGAUUGGUGUUUCCCCUCUGCGCUUCUAUUGACUACGUUGUUUACUCUCAUGGGAUAGCUGGUUCGGCACCAUGGAGAGAGAUUGGUGGGCAUUGUGGUUGCCCCCAGAAGAAAAGAAGAGUAGAAGAGGUUAUGGGUGGGUCAUGUGAAGUGACCUUCAACCCAGUUACUUCGUGGGGACUAUUUGCUGUAUAGAGAAGAUCAAGACUCAAGAGUUAGGGAAAAUUAUUGGAGGUCAUGUUUCCCUUCCUUAAGUUUUUCCUAUCAAAUUAUUUGCCUGAUUAGAUUAUGCUAAGGGUGGGAUACUUUAUGUUAGCAGUUGAAUUAAUUAAUUUUAUUUUUUUGUGUGUUUGCAUCCUUGCCCAUCGAUUGCAGUUUAGUAGUUAGUUUUGUAUUUGUCAGGCGUGAUGGUAAUGCCUGUUGAUGAUGUUUCAGAAUUGUAAUCUGUUCGUGAUGAGGAUGGCACAACUCCGAAGCAGAUGUGGGGAGAAGUUGUGAGCUGCCCUGGAAGCCAGUCCAGUAGCUGUUGGAGUUGAGUGGUGUUUGCUGAUGGCCAGCCCAGGGAGCUACUCUUCUCGACAACACUGACUUCGAGGAGUUGCACCAACCUUCACGAGAUAAGAGUUUAAUUAAUUGAAACACUGUAAGGACACUUAAUUUUUUUUGAAGAACGAAAGAAGUAUGGUAAUAAACGGAAACCGAAAAAAAAAAAAAAAUAAUAAUUAUCAAGAAUUUGCACAUUGUUUAACGAAUACUGAGAAACUAAGAACAGUAAUUUAAUUUGUAAAGAGAGCUUCACUAACAGAACAAUUUUUUUAGAAUUGAGAACUCGAGCCUCUGAAGGUUCCUGUGAGAACAAACCAGAUAAAAGUUUUACAUUUAAUUUUAUGAAUACUUGUUGUUUUAAAAUAAAUCUUAUGCAGAAUCUAGAUGUAUGUUCAGACAGCAAGGAACUAAGAAAAUUAUUAUUUUUGUGAAAUGAGGAAUUUAUAGUUAUGGUUUAAUGGAAAAAGACAAUUUGUAAUUUUGAGGUAGCUCGAUGGGGCUCGAGCUCUGUGAGGGGAGGGUUAUGUCGCGGGUUGAAAUUUUGCAGGGUUGUUGAAAUCAAAUUUAGGGACUUUACUGACGGGACUCUGGGCUGGCUGCUCUGUUCACUCGUCAGCGCAAGUGGCGUGACCAUGUAAUUGGGGCACGGGGCCGGCGCGGCGCGCUGCGGGCUUGCAGAAUUUUGUUUGUUUGUUUGGCCGCGCGCUGGCGCAGCCACGGGCCGCAGUUACUGGGGCGCGCUGUCGUAACAAGCCGCGCGGUGUGGCCUGCACAUCGGGGUAGAGGGGGGGUAGUCUUCCCAGAUGUUCUAGUUAGUUGUUUAGUAAAUUUGACUUCAAUAACGAGCUUUUGUUAUGGUAGGCGCGGCAGGGCGCGCGAAUUUAAGCGCAAGUGAGUGGUGACUCGGGGCUCACUCAGGCGGAGGCUAUGCGUCUCACCUGUGGUCACGAGUUGUUAGUUCGUUCGUGAUGUAGGAAUUCAGGCUCACUCAGGCGGAGGCUAUGCGUCUCACCUGUGGUCACGAGUUGUUAGUUCGUUCGUGAUGUAGGAAUUCAGGCUCUCGGGCGGAAGCUAUGGCCGACGCCAGAGGCCACGAGUCGUUUAAUUUAAGUUAGGUCAUAAUGUAGUCAUCUUCAAGCUUUCGGGCGGAGGCAAUGGCCUUUGUCACUAGUCGUUUAGUUAUAAUUUUUAAAAUGUAAUGUUCGUUCGGAUUUUAAGGGCAGGAGAGGCCCCUACGUUAUUUUUUUAAAGUAAUCGAUCAAGAAAGGCUUUUCGGAAAAUGUGAGUAUGGACUUAUCUUUGUUUUAAUUUUAAGUAUUAAUUAUGAUUUGAGGUAUUCGGAAGGACUAGGGAAGUGUUUAGUGAAGUUCUCUCAUUCUCUCUCUUGUAAGGUCGUUCGUUCAAUCGUUAAGGAAGUAAAGAGAUUAUUGUUUUAAAUUGUAAUCCCGCUAUUUAAAUGUUCUUUAAAAUGAUGUUGAGUAUUUGACUUUAAGAAUAAAAUAAUUUUAAUUAA
Long non-coding RNA from Bacillus rossius redtenbacheri, 4047 nucleotides. RefSeq lists it as uncharacterized. Lineage: Eukaryota; Metazoa; Arthropoda; Insecta; Phasmatodea; Bacillidae. The transcript is spliced from 2 exons. The record is from RefSeq and is a predicted model, not a curated record.